CACUCCCGCGACGCCGGCAGCCGCGGGCCCUAGGCCUGCUGGACCCUGGGAGGUAGCUCGGUUCCUGUGCGGAGCCGCCUGGGCCGGCGGACGGUGAUCCUGUGGGGAGGCCGGCGGAUGGGCGCCAGGUCCCACCCCUGAGGCUGGGCGCGGGGACGCGGCCAGGAGGGUCGGAAGGCGCCUGGAGCCCAGGCCAAGGAAGGGGUGGACGGUGCGCGGGGGAGCGGGAACGCGAAACCCAGGGACGCAGGAAGGCGGUCAGGAAGGGCUGGUGGCCUCUGAAACCUCCGGGACCAUGGGUCACCCUCGGGCCCAUCCGCCUUUCCUGCCGCCUUCCGACCCCCCUUCCCAACCCCUCACCUCCUCCACCUCACCUGAUUCUUCACUCCCACCUUACCGCGCCCGUCAGCCCCCGUGCUGUCCUUUCCAGACAAAGCCCAGGGCCCUUUUUCCUCUAGGCCCCAUCCACUGGCCUUCCAGAAUCCAGCGCCAUAGCCCCCAGGUGGCCCAUCACCCACCGUCCUCUCUGCACCCUUAGGCUCCCUUCUUUGCCUCCCCGCAGGUGGGCUGCCCUUCUUGUUCUGUGUAACUGGAAGAAGUAAAUGCAGCUUCCAGAGCGUCCACAACCUUCUCUCCAUCCUACUCCCUGCUCCUCCUACAGAGGAGGCCUUCUCUUCCCCUCUCCCCUGGGUGCUUCGUGUCAAUACACAGACACCCAGGAGUCGCUCCUUGCUUUUGACACAAGACACUCCAGGUUCCUUUUGUACUUUCCCUGCCCCAACCCUGAACUAGGUCAGUUCCCCAGCAGCCCUGGUUGAGCUAGUGGCAGGAGUCGGGAGAGGCCAGGAUCCAGGUGCUGCCUGAGUGCUCACUGCCACUGGGGUAUCCCUGAUUCUAGUGCCCACCAGGAGUCAGCUGGUGGGAGCAGACAUGUCCACGUGCACACACCUAUAUGUGCACACAGCCACAUGGAUAUCCUCAGGUGUCUUCCUAAGAGUGAUGGAGCAUGGAGCACAUUCAGUGCCAGGGGACAAUGGAAAGGCAGAGGGGCAGGGGUUUGGGGCAUUGGCAGGUGGGUCCCAGACUCUGAGGGUCAGAGGCUGUCUUCAGAUCCAACAGGGCUGGUGCCACCCAUUAAUUCCCGCCUCAGUCAAGGAUUUAAAGUAGAAAUGAGAAGAGCGGGUGAGUUAGAGGGGACACAGAGGCAGCAGCAAGGCUUCCCCAGGUGAGUGAGGGGACAGUCAUUUCUACAGAGACCUCUGCUGCUGUGGGACCUUCAGGCCCAGACCCUGCCCUCCUGGUCUCUGCAUGCCUGGCCCAGGGCCUUGGUCGGGGAGGUCAGACUGGGCAUCACAGGCACUGUCAAGGCUGGGCCUUGAGGCCAUCCAUGCAGUUGGGCCCAGAACCAUGGGGAAAAGCCACACGUGAAGUCACCAGCCCAGUGCUUGCCCCAGCCUUCCACCUUGGAGGUGCAGCCCCAGGGAUUGCAUGUCAUCUGAAGGCAUUUGGGGUGAUGUGGGACCUUCUCUGAGACUUACCCUACAACCCUGACAGAAAUCCUCAUUUAUGUGUUUAUGGAUGGGGUGUGAGGGGCAAAGUUGAGCCAGGGAGGAGGCUGCCACCUGACUCUGUUGCCUUCGGAUAUGCACAGUCAGGCCUCUGGCCCUGGGGACAGGUGCCUUAGACCUUGGCCAAACCCACCGGGAACCCUCAGGAGCUUCCAGACUCCAGCCAGGGCCCCUCCCUGCAGAUGAUAAGGAGCCAGCCUUCCCCUUUGUACCUUAGAAGGUCCAAAGGGCCCAGCCUCUGUCCUCCCUGACCCACCCUCCACCUCUUUCAUCCCAGGCCUUUGUAAUUUUUGGUUCACAUCUGCCACCCAGCCCCCUCCACAGUGGGGCAAAAAUCCUUCAACCAGGAGCCCAAGGCUUCUCCUGAUCCCUUCCCGCGACACCACCUUCUCCACAAGGAUCAUAGACAUCUCCUGCCAAGGGCCAGGCCAGCGGUCAGCUGCAGAGCUGAGCAGGGCCCCAGGGUGGAGGCACUGCCCAGGAUCUGGCUUGGUGCCCAGCCUUCUCUCAAAACCCAGGGAGCUUGGAUGUAUAACUCGGAUGCCCCUCCCCAGUCUGCUCUUCAGCAGGAAAUGGUCUAACGGGAAAGUAGGUCUUUUUAAAUCUGAAUUAUUCAAACAAUCUGUGCACGUGACUGGGACCCAAAGCAAGGCCUGGACGCACCCAGGUGCCUCUCUCCAGCCAGGCUUUGAAGGCUCUUUCUCACAGCUGCAGAGUGACUCUCCAUAUCUGGAUACAGUAAGAGGGCAGGAGUGGAGAGGCCACUGCCCCUUUGUCCUGCUGGGUAUCUGUCCCUGUCUUGCUCAACACUCUGGUCCACCAUGCGGACCUCCACAUUGCCUCCAGGAGGUGAGAUGGAGCCUGGCCCUGCCUCCACACUGCAAAGGACAGGGAGGAACAUGUGAUACCCAGGGGAUGCCCAGGGGAUGCAGAAUGUAGGUGACCAAGAGGAAAGCUUUAAUUAGUUCCUGCAGUCGACCUAAGGCAGGGUCUGGUGAAGGAACAGGGCCACACUCCGGGAGAGACCACACUCCUCCCUAACCCUUGGCACUCUGCCCAAGUGCACUAGGAAUGGGCAGGCCCAAGGCCCUUACCUCAAGAGUCCUGUCCAGCCACACAGCUGUCAGCUUGCUGGAAGGGAUGAGGAGGAAUAUGGGGAGAGCUGGGUGGGCAGCUCUAUGUGGACUGGUUAGUGAGACAGUAAGGGUGUAGACUGGAGAGACCUGGUGGUGAGUGGCCUGCAGACCAGGGGAGGAUGGUGACCAGAUGGGAGUGCCUGGCGAGGUCACAGGUGUGCCUUCAGGAGGAUGCUAUGCCGCAGAGCUAGGGCGGGGCCUCAUUGCCUCCUGAGCCUCAGGGAGGAGGCCAGUGCUGCCUGUGGCCCCCAGCAGACCUUGAAGGACCCCUGAAGUCCUCCCCACAAGUACAGGGAGCCAGCGUCUGUCCCAGCCUCCCAUCCCACUGGCUCUGACCCUCCUGGUCUCCCACCUCAGUCAUAGGCCAGACAUCCCUGUGCAAGGGCACCAAAACAUGGAAGACAGCAGGAAACCGUGCAGUGCCAGGUGGGGCAGAGGGCAUGUUUCUCCCUCCCCCAGAGUUGGACCAGAAGCCUAGGGAAAGUCCAGGCAGCUCCUUGGGGCUGACGGUGUUGCCCAGCCGAUCCGAGACUAGGACUCAGGUGUGCAGCUCGGACCUGGCCAGAGGGGGCUGCCUCUAGGAGCCAGGCGAGAGGAUCUGCUCUCCUCUCUGGGCUUCCUGUAGUGGGCAUGCCCCCUGGAACCGCAUGUGGGGAGAUACCCGAGUCCUGACUCCACCCAGUGUCACCCUCAUUCCUGGUGUAAAACACGAAACUCUCUAAUGGAGAAAGAGGUAUCCAUGAGCAGGCAAAGCAGAAUCCCUGCAUGAAACACAGGAGUCAGGUAGCAAGUGGUAGAAGCUUAAACCAGCUUGUGUGGAAGUGGGAAAUUGAGUGGCAGAUAUCUGGGCGUCCGGUACAGCUGGAUCCAGGCCCUUAGUGAGGAGUCAGGGUUCUGUGGCCCACCCUGUUUCUGCUUUCCUGGGUGGUAGCGCCUUCUCUCUGCUUGGCAAGGAAAUGGCUGCCAGCCUCAGGUACCCUCACCCCUGGAAGAGCACCACAGAAGACUCUCAGAUGUCUGUAUGUUAACCCCAUAAGGACUCCAGACAGCUCCCUCAGGUUCCUGUGGCCCUGGUGGCAGGGAAGGGAGGGGCCGUAACUAAGGGCUCUGUCGGGUCAAUGUGGAACACCCAGCACAAAGGCAGGAGGUGGGAGGUUGCUGGAUGGCGGAAGAAGCAGCCCAGGUGGUCCCCGCCUGCUUGGUGGCUAAAACCUGGGUUUGGCUCCAGCUGAAAUGCUUCGCUGGUUGUUGGGUUUAUAGCUGAGGUUAGUUUGACUGACUAACACCUGCGGCUCUGACUGCCCUCUCUCGGAGCCCUGGGCCUGACUGCAGGGGUGAGGCAUGACCUUGACAAGGUCAGCCAAGGCAUCUCUGAGACACUGGCUUCUCAAAGUGUCCACCUAGCUGCAGAGACAAGGGACAGCUGGGAGAACACAGCCCAGGGCCUCUCCUCCUCACUGAGGCCAGGAACCCCCUGGCCUGAGGGGUUACUGGGGUGAAGCCCUGGGGUGCAGCAGGCCCAAGUCUUCCCUCCCCAGACAUCCUCGGGAGCAUCUUCUGGGGUAGGGGUACUAUGGACCCAAACACAGAUAAAAGGGUAGGGUGGCCACAGCAGGCAUCAGGGACACAAGUGGACAGGGAUGCAGGGACAUACACCUCUGCCCACAGGAGGAAGCCAGGUGGGUGGGCAUCGGGGUGUGUAAAAGGGACGGCCCAGAGGUAGCCACCUAGCUAGGCCUUGGGGCUCUGAGCCUUGGGACAAUUUCUGGGCCCCCAACCUCCUCCUCCCCUACCUCCUGUCACCCGCAGACUCUGGUGUGCUCAGAGAGGGGCCCCUGGGGCAGGUGAGCGGGGACAUACACACCCUGGGUGGGCCAGUGCAGGGGACCCGGGCUUCCUACCCACACCCCAGAGCCCUAAGCCUGGAGCAGGUCACACAGUGACUCCAGGAGCCGGGACAAAGGCAGGCAUGGUUUCGAGGGUCGGAACGGCGCCCAGGAGCUGGCGGGCCUGCUCUCAGGGCUGCUGGACCUGCUGUAGCCUCGGCUCCGUCGGCUUCCCCGCCAGCGCCUUCUUCAGGAAGGGAGCUCCAGCUGGUGUGGGGAUUCGUCCCCCUGGGAUGGUGCCCUGGGAUUGGGCUCCUCCGACGCCUGCCAGGUAAACAGCUUGUACUUGGGGCGCUAGCUGGGGAGCAGACAGACUAGCCCCCAGGCUUCCAUGGGGUCUAGUCCGCGAGGGGCCUGGCUAAGGGGCCACAGGUGCCUCUGACAGCAAAGCCUCCCCAAGCCCCUGCCCAUGGCCCUGUUGGGCCCUGCCAGGUACCUGGGCCGCCCGGAGGGGUCCCAGUGCCUCAGAGUGCUCUGCAACUGCCCUUCACCCAAGAGGUCCGGCAGAACCACCUCCAGUGUUCAUCUGGGGUCUGGCCCAGGCUCCACAGUCAGAGCACGCCUGCGGGUGUUGAUGCCGCAGUGCACCCGGCCCCUGGACACCAAGCAGGCAUGGCCUUUCCCCUGGGCCUCCAUCCUGGCCACUGUCCUCAGCACUCUAGAGAUUCCCGCUGGUCACUCGCAGGCCGCUCUGGCCGGCGCUGUACCCCUUUGGCCUGUGCGGACAUCGCGGUGCCCACCUUCCACUGUUGUGAAUCGAGCCGCGGUAGGACACCUUGCCGAGUUCCUGUCUGAACAUCUACUUACUAUUCUUUGCCUCUUCAUGAGGUGGCUCCACGUUGAACUUACUGGGGACUCCACGUCAGAGGGUCCCACAGCGGCUGCACCGCUUUCCUUCCCACCAGCAGUGCGAGGGGGCCCAAUGUCUACACAUAUGACCAACUUGUUUCCUUUUUAAAAAGAUAAUAGCCAUUCCUGGUGGGCUUGGAGUGGCAUCUCUCCCCGACCAGUAGUGGCCUGCAGUAUUUUCCCUGUGCUUAUUGGCCAUCCCUGGAUCUUCUUUGGAGCAAUGUCUAUUCAAGUCCAUGUUACUCAUCUUUAUGUCUCUGUGACAAAACACCUGGGAAA
This 5718-nucleotide long non-coding RNA is filed under the name Marmota monax (woodchuck). The record is from RNAcentral. Lineage: Eukaryota; Metazoa; Chordata; Mammalia; Rodentia; Sciuridae.